Molecule: long non-coding RNA, 718 nt
Organism: Calypte anna (Anna's hummingbird)
Lineage: Eukaryota; Metazoa; Chordata; Aves; Apodiformes; Trochilidae
Exons: 3
Source: RefSeq, a predicted model, not a curated record
CGGCCCGAGGGAGAGGGAACCUUCCCAACCUGGAGUCCCGCCACCGCCGGUGGGCAGAGCCCCAGCCCGCCCUGCUUUUUCCCCGGGAGCUGAACCUCGGCCACAGGCGCCAGCGCGUUUGUCUUGCGCGGCAGUGGGUGCAGCACGUUUGAAUUUAAUCUUAUUUCCCCUGCCCGAGUCAAGAGAAGCGGCGGCUCCAUCGACAGCGGCGACAUUUCGGGUGCACCCGUGUAGGACCAUACUCCGCAGGCUGUCCGGAUCUCCAGGACACUGCUAAGAUCAAUUGCCUGCGCGUAUACCCUCUAAAACACCUAGGGGCUUAGCAGCUGGAAUGUAAUUCAUUCGCCGAAUAGAGCAUAUAAACGUGCAUCUCAAAAAGCAGGCACUGCAGUGCAACAGCCUGAGGUCCAAACUCCUUUGCCACAAACCACGGGCGUGACACUGCGUACACCUUCAUGGAGAAGCGUGGGUUCCAAGGACGGAUUCGGGGCCGUGAUUUCCUAACGUGAGAGGAAAUAUAGAAAACCUUUCCAAACUCAGCCCUCUCCUGAGUCAGCCCUGCUACAAGGGGCCCUCAUGCACCUCUCCCUGACAGCAUCGAGAUCGGGCUGUAUAUAGUCAAGGACUUCCAGAAGCCUUUAGACAAAUUUCAAAAGCAGUGGAUGAAGGAAUCAUGUUGGGACCAGCUGCCACAGCAUAAAACCAGCUCUAGACCUGA